CAUAACAAAUUUGCAUAAGUGGUGUGUGAAAGCAUUGUAAUUAGUCUAUUCAAAACAGUUACAAUAUAUGGAUAUAGUAUUAGCGUUCUGGUCACCAAUCAUUCUCCAUGUUAACUCCUGGACUAUGUAAGUCUUAAAAUGAAUACUACUUGAAAAUGGAGGAAGGCACAUCACUUUGGGAAGAAUGCAACCCAGUUUUAGAAUGCUGUAAUAAAGAGCUGGACAAACAAGAAAUUAUGACUGUGGAAUGGCCAAGGAACCCUCAGCACAAAGGCUACACUGGAGUGGUGACAAGACGGCCCCAAUCAGAGUGCAAUAUAGAGGUUCCUGCAAAGUGCAAUUUCCAGUAAAAUCAUGGUGAAAACCUCAACUGCUUCAUUUAAAGAGCAGCUUUCUGCCGGACUAUGCUGCACUGCAGUAACUCAUCAAAUAUAUUUCAACAGUGCGUCCUUCACUAUGACCUCUACCAUCUAAAAGGACAAGAGCAGCAAUAUUAUCAGAGUGCUAUCAUCAUCAAGUUCCUCUCAGAGUCACAGAUAAUGCCGAGUGGAUAUAAAUUGCUUUCCUUGACCAGUGCUGAGUCAAGAUCCUGAAAUUCUUCAUUUAAUACCACUGUGGGAAAUUUUUCAUCAAAUGGAUUACAUCAGUUCAAGAUAAAAGCCAACUUGGGAAACUAGACAGUAAGACCUUAAGAUGUAAAAGCAGAAGUAGGCCAUUCAGCCCAUUGAGUUUACUCCACCAUUCAAUGAAAUCACAGAUCAUCUGAUAAUCCGCAACUUCAUUUUCCUGCCUAAUCCCUAUAACCCUUGAUUUCAUUAUUGAUUACAAAUCUAGAUAUCUCAGCCUUGAAUAUACUUAAUGACCAAGCCUUGAUAAAUGGUGGCAAUAAAGAAUUCCAGACUCACUACCCUCUGAUAGGAGAAAUUCCUCCUCAUUUUUGCCUUAAAUGGGCAACCCCCACCCCCCCCCCCAACCAUUCUGGAAUUAUGCCCUCUAAUUAUGCCUAGACUCUUCCACAAGGGGAAACAACCUCUCCACAUUUGCAUUGGUCAAGCUCUCUAAGAAUGCUAUGUUUCAGUACUUUCCUCUCAUACUUUUAAACUCCGAUUAGCCUAACCUACUCAACUGUACUGCAUAAGAAAAUCCCUCCCUACCCAAAAUAACCUACUCAACUGUACUGCAUAAGAAAAUCCCUUCCUACCCAAAAUAAACCAAGUGAACUUUGUCUUGACUGCCUCUAAUUCCAGUAUAUCUUUCCUUAGAUAAGUGAAUUAAAGCUAUUUACUGUAUUCCAGGCGUGGUCUGACCACUGCCUUCUAUAAUUUAGCAAGACUUAACAACUGUUAUACUCCACUCCCUUUGAAAUAAAGGCCAAUAGUCCAUUUGCCUUAUCCAUUACCUUCUAAAUUUGCAGUUAUUCUUCUAUUCUUCCAGCCAAAGUGCAAAAUCUCAAAUUUUCCUGUGUUAUAUUCCAUCUGCCAAGUUUUUGUCCACUCACUUAGCUUGUUCAGUUGCCUCCAGAACCCUUUGCAUAAUCCUCCCUACUUGCAUUCCUGACUUUUUGUGCCAUGUACAAACCUGGCAAUAGUAUAUUCACUUCCUUCGUACAAGUCAUUAAUAUAUGUUGUAUAUUAACGAUACUAAUCCCUGAAGCACUUCACUAGUGACAGCGUGCUAUCCCAAAAAUGUUCCUAUUAUCUCAAUUGUGCUUCUUAAUUAGUUUGCCAAUCCUUUACACAUCUUAACAUAUUACCUCAAACACUCAUUAAAUAGCAUAUGUACUGUACAAAUGCAUUUCAGAAUGAGCAACAAACAUAUUUUUUCAACUGUUGCCUGUAUUCUGAAAAGCAAUGAGAAAAUGCAUGAAAUGGGAGAAAAUCAGUUAUGUAAGUAAUGGCAUAUUUUGAUUACGUGCUUGUUGUAGAUUUUUUUUUGCAAUGGAAGAACUUUGCUUAUAUGUAUUGUCUGUAAUGUUUUGGGAAUACCCCAGCAUGUCUCACAGUAAAUGAGGUACCUUUUCAAGUGCCGUUACAAUUGUACUGAAAGACAAAAAAGCAGUCAAUUUGUACAUAGUGAGGUCUGAGAAGAUUUGCAGCUCAGGUUGAGGUUCUGGAUGUGAGUUUGCUCGCGGAGCUGUAAGGUUAGUUUUCAGAUGUUUCGUCACCAUUCUAGGUAACAUCAACAAUGAGCCUCCGACGAAGCGACAAAACCUAAACAGAUAAAUAGAAAGCGGGACAUAACACCAGCACUUCA
Stegostoma tigrinum is the source of this 2253-nucleotide long non-coding RNA. RefSeq lists it as uncharacterized. The record is from RefSeq and is a predicted model, not a curated record. NCBI's taxonomy places the organism in Eukaryota, Metazoa, Chordata, Chondrichthyes, Orectolobiformes, Stegostomatidae. The transcript is spliced from 3 exons.